CGGCCUGGCCUAGUGGGUAGUGACCCUGCCUAUGAAGCCGAUGGUCCCGGGUUCGAAUCCUGGUAAGGGCAUUUAUUUGUAUGAUGAUACAGAUAUUUGUUCCCGAGUCAUGGGUGUUUUCUAUGUAUUUAAGUAUUUAUAUAUUAUAUAUAUCGUUGUCUCAUGCCCACAACACAAGCCUUAUUGAGCUUACUGUGGGACUAGGUCGAUCUGUGUAAAAUUGUCCUAUAAUAUUUAUUUAUUUAUU
Molecule: long non-coding RNA, 247 nt
Organism: Cydia fagiglandana
Lineage: Eukaryota; Metazoa; Arthropoda; Insecta; Lepidoptera; Tortricidae
Exons: 2
Source: RefSeq, a predicted model, not a curated record